GCCGUGUUUCCACAUCGUAAACCGAUUGCCGCUGCGGUGCGGUGCGGUGCGGUGCGGUGGUUGUCUCUGCUCCAUCUCCGACCGAUUGCGCCGCUCAACAUCGGACGUUUUGGAAGACCGUCAGAUUUGAAGCGUUCUUUCAUUUUAGUGAGGAGAUUUCGUUGUUUGUUGGCACAUCUUACUUAGAGUUACUUUGGGCAAGAUCAAUGGAUGAAUCUUUGGGUUGGGUUCUGGUGAUUGAGGACUUCGUUGAAAGGGUCUGUUCCCGGAUGAGUCUUUUUUCUUUCUUCAAAAGGUCACAACUUCAGUCUCAAAUGAGACAAGAAUCGAGGGUACAGCCUGUUCUUCUUGAUUCUAACAUGGAGGGUACACCCGUCACGAACAUGUCUUUAACACCCUUAUUCGACCACUGGAUUUGCUAUUCAUGCAUCAGGUUUGAUAAUUUUGAGAAAUCAUUUAGACAUCUGGUUGUCCAUGAAUGGUACAUCUCAUUUUUGUUAAGUGUUGAUUCAGAUGGAUGUAAAAUUAAUGUUGUUUAUUUAUUAUUUAUUUCUGCAUUGAUAGUAAAUCUAAUGGUUCAUAGAAUCCAACUGUUUAAUCAGGGUGGCAUGGGUGAUUUAAGUUUACGAUGGUGGUGCAGAACCCCCUUGUAACCCCAAGCAUUGUUUUUAUCAAUGUGACCCAUAAAAGAUUAUUACCAAAGAUGUAUAUGUUCAAUACCUAGGCAGUCUGAGGAUCUUCUAGCUGAUUAGCUUUUGUAUAAACUGUUGAGCACUAGAUAUUGUUUUGUCCAAUUCAGAGUUCUCUUAGCUUGGAAAAAAGAUCUGUUCGAGUUAUUUCUGUUUUCUUGUGAAUAAAUAGAGUCCUUGAUUAAGGACUACUGUUAUAAUUUCUUGCAGAGUACAAUCUUAUGCCAAGCCGGUCAAUGUGGCCAUUCGGUACAGAUUGGCAUAGUGCAUUCUGAUGUAUACUUGUGUGAUGAUACGUUUCGACCCAUGUUGACACAUGGUAGUUGUCAUGAUCAGCAGGAUAGUGCUUAACAAUAUUUCCAGUUGCCCAAGAGAUGAGUGUUGAAAGGAUUAUGACAAGAUCAGAAGUUCUCAUUUGCAGCUUCUAGUACAAUACUAGCACAGGAUACUUACCUUGUGGCAAGUACAUUGAAGUUCCACCUUUGGUUUCUGGAUUCCCACAAUGCCACUGGUGUUUAUAAAAAGGAAAAGAAGAAACUAUUCCUUGAUGAUUUUGCUUCAAGUUUUCUGCUACUGAUUCUUCACCACCAAACUUGAGUGAUGUCUGGUCUGCUUGGUCUUCCAACUGUUUAGCUUGUUUCCUACUCAUGAUUGUGUAAUAUUUCCUGUACAUUUAAAUCUUUCGAGAUUUGAGUCCAUUAGCAGCAUAAGCCUGAAAAAGUUGCAAGUUCUGACUCCAUUAGCAGCAGUAGAUAAUUAGGUCACAAAUUCUGAGCACUUCCCACACAAAACGUUUCUAGUCUUCAGGUGUUCAUCCUUCAUUUUCGAGAGCAAGGGUCUGAUAAUUCAAGGACUUUCUCAAUGGAAUUUAGUGAUGAAGAAGCUUCCUUCUUUGCUUUAACUGCAAGAUUUGAUUCUCAGAGGAAAAUGUGGGAUUGUAAAUACGUGGCAAAAUUUGGGUGUAUCAUAGGGUUGCUAUAUAUCCAUCCUUUAGCAUAUCUUUUCUUUGGAAUUAUUUGGUUGGCCUUGGUCAAUGCCCAAAGUUGUAAGAUUCUAGUUUCUCAUAAUAUAGUUUCAUGAGUUUUACAGUA
Long non-coding RNA from Musa acuminata AAA Group (dessert banana), 1780 nucleotides. RefSeq lists it as uncharacterized. The transcript has 2 exons. The record is from RefSeq and is a predicted model, not a curated record. Lineage: Eukaryota; Viridiplantae; Streptophyta; Magnoliopsida; Zingiberales; Musaceae.